This 207-nucleotide ribosomal RNA is filed under the name uncultured bacterium. RNAcentral's name for it is "partial 16S ribosomal RNA". It matches the Rfam family "Bacterial small subunit ribosomal RNA", at positions 568 to 774 of the family's 1533-position model. The record is from RNAcentral.
CACGUAGGCGGACCUGCAAGUUGGGGGUGAAAUCCCGGGGCUCAACCCCGGAACUGCCUUCAAAACUGCUGGUCUUGAGGUCGAGAGAGGUGAGUGGAAUUCCGAGUGUAGAGGCGAAAUUCGUAGAUAUUGGGAGGAACACCAGUGGCGAAGGCGGCUCACUGGCUCGAUACUGACGCUGAGGUGCGAAAGCGUGGGGAGCAAACA